Molecule: long non-coding RNA, 1586 nt
Organism: Mytilus californianus (California mussel)
Lineage: Eukaryota; Metazoa; Mollusca; Bivalvia; Mytilida; Mytilidae
Exons: 2
Source: RefSeq, a predicted model, not a curated record
GUACGGAAACGUAUUAGCGCCACACAACUUUUUUUUUAUACUUCUUCCUACGUUUGCGUUAUAACGCAAACCUUUGCGAAAUAACGCAAACCUUUUGCGUUAUAACGCAAACAUUUGCGAAAUAACGCAAACCUUUGCGAUAUAACGCAAACAUUUGUUUUAUCUUAUAUCUUAUUUAAGAUUCAAAGGAAGGAGCAGUUAUUAUUGGAGGAGGCUGCAUAUAUUAAAAUUUAUCUUCUUUGUACUCAUUGCAAAGUAAAAUGCUUUACUAUUUAACUAAUAAUGAGCAGGAUAAUAGAUAUAAGAAGAUGUUGUAUGAGUGCCGAUGAGAAAACUCUCCAUCUAAGUUAUAAUUGGUAAAAGUAAACCAUUAUAGGUCAAAGUACGGUCUUCAACACGGAGCAUUGACUCACACCGAACAUCAAGCUAUAAAGUGCCCCCAAAAAUGAUAUACAUGAUAAUACAUGUACAUAUAUUACAAUGAAAAUUGAGUAAAUUAAAGUUAUACCGAAGAAAAAAAACAACCCUGCUAAUAUAGCUAUAGCCGAUUAUAAAUAUACUUCCAAAGUAAGCUCUCGUUUGAGGAAUGUGUAAGGUUGGUUAACUACCCUUUUGCAAUAAAUGAAUAAAAUGAAGAUGUUUUAUUAAUAAAAUUAUGUUCUCUUCAUUUAAAUUGCUACCAAGUUACCACACUAGAUUGAAAAUUUCAUGACUUUUUAUCAAAGAAUCUUUAUCAUAUUCUGAGAUUUUAAAAAACGAUUUCUUACAUCAGAAUUAAAAAAGAAAAAAAUCUUUCUUAAUAAUUCAUUUUACAGCAGAAAGACCAUUUUGCCUAUUUGACUUGACAGUUUUACAAUUGUAUGACAUUAUUUUUGCUCGUACUUAUCUACUUAAUCAAUUUUUUUAAAAUGUUGGCCUUUCAAAUAAAAUAUGCCUAUAACAUUUCUAUUUUCUUGUUAAAUUAUAUACUUUUCUGAUUCCUAUGCAUGUUUAUUAUAAUGACUUUGCCUUGUAUUUAUGGUUCUUUUCCUAACUAAAUCACAACAGAAAUUUAAUGACAGACGGACAUAUAUACAAAACUUAAAGAAGAAUUGAAAUCAAAAGAUGUUUGCGUUAUAACGCAAAGGUUUGCGUUAUAUCGCAAAGAUAGGAAGAAAAUUAUAAAAAAAAUAAUUGUGUGGCGCUUAUACGCUUCUGUAUAUUUCAACGCAUCUUGAUAAUUCCUCAGAGCACAUCAAGAAUUCUUUUCUUUUGUCAAAAUUUACAACAAAAUGCCGCCCGACUAAAAUGUAUUGUUUUGAUUGCGUGCAUGUUCAUUAAAUAUAGCAAUGCUGCAAACAAUAAUUUACAAGCGCAACGUUUCCUGACAUGUCUGUGUUUUUUUUUUUUUUGGUUUUUUUAGUUGUGUUAUUAUAUUAUUGAUACCAUAGUUUUAUAUUUUGGUUACAUUGUAAAUCUUACAGUUGUCAUGUUGCAGUGAUGUUUAUUUAAUAUGAAUUUGUCCUCUCAGUAUUUCAAUAUUAAUAUGUUUUAUUUGAUAACAAUAUUGACGAUAUCAUGUUUUCUUGAAUACAUGUGAAUAGUGA